RNAcentral lists this ribosomal RNA (254 nucleotides) under uncultured bacterium. Its description in RNAcentral is "partial 16S ribosomal RNA". It matches the Rfam family "Bacterial small subunit ribosomal RNA", at positions 524 to 776 of the family's 1533-position model. The record is from RNAcentral.
CACGUAGGGGGCAAGCGUUGUCCGGAUUUAUUGGGCGUAAAGAGCUCGUAGGCGGCUCGGUAAGUCGGGUGUGAAACCUCCAGGCUCAACCUGGAGACGCCACCUGAUACUGCUGUGGCUAGAGUCCGGUAGGGGAGUGUGGAACUCCUGGUGUAGCGGUGAAAUGCGCAGAUAUCAGGAGGAACACCAAUAGCGAAGGCAGCUCGCUGGGACGGUAUUGACGCUAAGGCGCGAAAGCGUGGGGAGCAAACAGG